AAGUCGUAACAAGGUUUCCGUAGGUGAACCUGCGGAAGGAUCAUUAAAAGUAAUAUGUAUUCUCUCGAAUAUACAUUAUAAGCCCAUCUGUGUAUCUUACCCGUUGCUUCCGCGAGGCAGUGAUCUCGGUCACCUCCGAACGACGGCGAAAGCUGUCCGACGGGGAGCACUCGCGGGAGGUAUACAUCAAACUCUUGCAUUUUUAUGUCAUCUGUCUGAACUGUUUAUAACAAAUGUUAAAACUUUCAACAACGGAUCUCUUGGUUCUC
Molecule: unclassified non-coding RNA, 269 nt
Filed under: Scutellinia scutellata
Lineage: Eukaryota; Fungi; Ascomycota; Pezizomycetes; Pezizales; Pyronemataceae
Description: partial internal transcribed spacer region
Rfam family: Eukaryotic small subunit ribosomal RNA (bases 1-46)
Source: RNAcentral